UGCCGGCGAGCGGCGGACGGGUGAGUAAUGUCUGGGAAACUGCCUGAUGGAGGGGGAUAACUACUGGAAACGGUAGCUAAUACCGCAUGACCUCGCAAGAGCAAAGUGGGGGACCUUCGGGCCUCACGCCAUCGGAUGUGCCCAGAUGGGAUUAGCUAGUAGGUGGGGUAAUGGCUCACCUAGGCGACGAUCCCUAGCUGGUCUGAGAGGAUGACCAGCCACACUGGAACUGAGACACGGUCCAGACUCCUACGGGAGGCAGCAGUGGGGAAUAUUGGACAAUGGGCGAAAGCCUGAUCCAGCCAUGCCGCGUGUGUGAAGAAGGUCUUCGGAUUGUAAAGCACUUUAAGUUGGGAGGAAGGGCAGUUACCUAAUACGUGAUUGUUUUGACGUUACCGACAGAAUAAGCACCGGCUAACUCUGUGCCAGCAGCCGCGGUAAUACAGAGGGUGCAAGCGUUAAUCGGAAUUACUGGGCGUAAAGCGCGCGUAGGUGGUUUGUUAAGUUGGAUGUGAAAUCCCCGGGCUCAACCUGGGA
Molecule: ribosomal RNA, 537 nt
Filed under: uncultured Gammaproteobacteria bacterium
Lineage: Bacteria; Pseudomonadati; Pseudomonadota; Gammaproteobacteria
Description: bacterial SSU rRNA
Rfam family: Bacterial small subunit ribosomal RNA
Source: RNAcentral